CAGCAGCCGCGGUAAUACGUAGGGUGCAAGCGUUAAUCGGAAUUACUGGGCGUAAAGCGUGCGCAGGCGGUUUUGUAAGACAGGCGUGAAAUCCCCGGGCUCAACCUGGGAAUGGCGCUUGUGACUGCAAAGCUAGAGUGCGGCAGAGGGGGAUGGAAUUCCGCGUGUAGCAGUGAAAUGCGUAGAUAUGCGGAGGAACACCGAUGGCGAAGGCAACCCCCUGGGCCUGCACUGACGCUCAUGCACGAAAGCGUGGGGAGCAAACAGGAUUAGAUACCCCAGUAGUCCCUGUCUCUUAUAC
RNAcentral lists this ribosomal RNA (301 nucleotides) under uncultured bacterium. RNAcentral's name for it is "partial 16S ribosomal RNA". It matches the Rfam family "Bacterial small subunit ribosomal RNA", at positions 509 to 807 of the family's 1533-position model. The record is from RNAcentral.